This 499-nucleotide ribosomal RNA is filed under the name uncultured bacterium. RNAcentral describes it as "bacterial SSU rRNA". It matches the Rfam family "Bacterial small subunit ribosomal RNA", at positions 28 to 529 of the family's 1533-position model. The record is from RNAcentral.
GAUGAACGCUGGCGGCGUGCCUAACACAUGCAAGUCGAGCGUGAACCCUGCGAAUGAAACUUCGGUCGAUUUUGCAGGGGGAAAGCGGCGGACGGGUGAGUAACGCGUAGGUAACCUGCCCCAUACUGAGGGAUAGCCUCGGGAAACCGGGAUUAAUACCUCAUAACACCGUAUAUUCGCAUGGAUGUGCGGUCAAAGAUUUAUCGGUAUGGGAUGGGCCUGCGUCUGAUUAGCUGGUUGGUGGGGUAACGGCCUACCAAGGCGACGAUCAGUAGCCGACCUGAGAGGGUGAUCGGCCACAUUGGAACUGAGACACGGUCCAAACUCCUACGGGAGGCAGCAGUGGGGAAUAUUGCACAAUGGGCGAAAGCCUGAUGCAGCAACGCCGCGUGAGCGAAGAAGGCCUUUGGGUCGUAAAGCUCUGUCGGGUAGGAAGAUAAUGACGGUACUACCCGAGGAAGCCCCGGCUAACUACGUGCCAGCAGCCGCGGUAAUCAUA